GUUGGUACUUGUACCGACUGGAUGAGCAGCGAACGGGUGAGUAACGCGUGGGGAAUCUGCCUUUGAGCGGGGGACAACAUUUGGAAACGAAUGCUAAUACCGCAUAAAAACUUUAAACACAAGUUUUGAGUUUGAAAGAUGCAAUUGCAUCACUCAAAGAUGAUCCCGCGUUGUAUUAGCUAGUUGGUGAGGUAAAGGCUCACCAAGGCGAUGAUACAUAGCCGACCUGAGAGGGUGAUCGGCCACAUUGGGACUGAGACACGGCCCAAACUCCUACGGGAGGCAGCAGUAGGGAAUCUUCGGCAAUGGACGAAAGUCUGACCGAGCAACGCCGCGUGAGUGAAGAAGGUUUUCGGAUCGUAAAACUCUGUUGGUAGAGAAGAACGUUGGUGAGAGUGGAAAGCUCAUCAAGUGACGGUAACUACCCAGAAAGGGACGGCUAACUACGUGCCAGCAGCCGCGGUAAUACGUAGGUCCCGAGCGUUGUCCGGAUUUAUUGGGCGUAAAGCGAGCGCAGGUGGUUUAUUAAGUCUGGUGUAAAAGGCAGUGGCUCAACCAUUGUAUGCAUUGGAAACUGGUAGACUUGAGUGCAGGAGAGGAGAGUGGAAUUCCAUGUGUAGCGGUGAAAUGCGUAGAUAUAUGGAGGAACACCGGUGGCGAAAGCGGCUCUCUGGCCUGUAACUGACACUGAGGCUCGAAAGCGUGGGGAGCAAACAAGAUUAGAUACCCUGGUAGUCCACGCCGUAAACGAUGAGUGCUAGAUGUAGGGAGCUAUAAGUUCUCUGUAUCGCAGCU
This 795-nucleotide ribosomal RNA is filed under the name uncultured bacterium. RNAcentral's name for it is "SSU rRNA". It matches the Rfam family "Bacterial small subunit ribosomal RNA", at positions 72 to 853 of the family's 1533-position model. The record is from RNAcentral.